AGCUAAAUGCGGAAGAGAUAAGUGCUGAAAGCAUCUAAGCACGAAACUUGCCCCGAGAUGAGUUCUCCCUGACUCCUUGAGAGUCCUGAAGGAACGUUGAAGACGACGACGUUGAUAGGCCGGAUGUGUAAGCGCAGCGAUGCGUUGAGCUAACCGGUACUAAUGAACCGUGAGGCUUAACCUUACAACGCCGAAGCUGUU
Molecule: ribosomal RNA, 201 nt
Filed under: Escherichia coli
Lineage: Bacteria; Pseudomonadati; Pseudomonadota; Gammaproteobacteria; Enterobacterales; Enterobacteriaceae
Description: partial 23S ribosomal RNA
Rfam family: Bacterial large subunit ribosomal RNA
Source: RNAcentral